This 263-nucleotide ribosomal RNA is filed under the name uncultured bacterium. RNAcentral describes it as "partial 16S ribosomal RNA". It matches the Rfam family "Bacterial small subunit ribosomal RNA", at positions 333 to 593 of the family's 1533-position model. The record is from RNAcentral.
CGAACCCUACGGGACGCAGCAGUGAGGAAUAUUGGUCAAUGGGCGGGAGCCUGAACCAGCCACGCCGCGUGAGGGAAGAAGGUACAGCGUAUCGUAAACCUCUUUUGUCAGGGAACAAAGGCGGGGACUAGUCCCCGGAUGAGGGUACCUGAAGAAAAAGCAUCGGCUAACUCCGUGCCAGCCGCCGCGGUAAUACGGAGGAUGCGAGCGUUAUCCGGAUUUAUUGGGUUUAAAGGGUGCGCAGGCGGCCUGUUAAGUCAGCG